UCUCCGUUGGUGGAACCAGCGGAGGGAUCAUUACUGAGUUUACGCUCUACAACCCUUUGUGAACAUACCUAUAACUGUUGCUUCGGCGGGCAGGGUCUCCGUGACCCUCCCGGCCUCCCGCCCCCGGGCGGGUCGGCGCCCGCCGGAGGAUAACCAAACUCUGAUUUAACGACGUUUCUUCUGAGUGGUACAAGCAAAUAAUCAAAACUUUUAACAACGGAUCUCUUGGUUCUGGCAUCGAUGAAGAACGCAGCGAAAUGCGAUAAGUAAUGUGAAUUGCAGAAUUCAGUGAAUCAUCGAAUCUUUGAACGCACAUUGCGCCCGCCAGCAUUCUGGCGGGCAUGCCUGUUCGAGCGUCAUUUCAACCCUCAAGCUCUGCUUGGUGUUGGGGCCCUACAGCUGAUGUAGGCCCUCAAAGGUAGUGGCGGACCCUCCCGGAGCCUCCUUUGCGUAGUAACUUUACGUCUCGCACUGGGAUCCGGAGGGACUCUUGCCGUAAAACCCCCAAUUUUCCAAAGGUUGACC
Molecule: ribosomal RNA, 525 nt
Filed under: Colletotrichum gloeosporioides
Lineage: Eukaryota; Fungi; Ascomycota; Sordariomycetes; Glomerellales; Glomerellaceae
Description: eukaryotic LSU rRNA
Rfam family: 5.8S ribosomal RNA (bases 206-359)
Source: RNAcentral